Molecule: ribosomal RNA, 907 nt
Filed under: uncultured bacterium
Lineage: Bacteria
Description: bacterial SSU rRNA
Rfam family: Bacterial small subunit ribosomal RNA
Source: RNAcentral
ACGCUGGCGGCAGGCUUAACACAUGCAAGUCGAACGGUAGCAGGAGAAAGCUUGCUUUCUUGCUGACGAGUGGCGGACGGGUGAGUAAUGCUUGGGAAUCUGGCUUAUGGAGGGGGAUAACUACGGGAAACUGUAGCUAAUACCGCGUAGUGUCGAGAGACGAAAGUGCGGGACCGCAAGGCCGCAUGCCAUGAGAUGAGCCCAAGUGGGAUUAGGUAGUUGGUGGGGUAAAGGCCUACCAAGCCUGCGAUCUCUAGCUGGUCUGAGAGGAUGGCCAGCCACACUGGAACUGAGACACGGUCCAGACUCCUACGGGAGGCAGCAGUGGGGAAUAUUGCGCAAUGGGGGGAGCCCUGACGCAGCCAUGCCGCGUGAAUGAAGAAGGCCUUCGGGUUGUAAAGUUCUUUCGGUAUUGAGGAAGGUUGAUGUGUUAAUAGUACAUCAAAUUGACGUUAAAUACAGAAGAAGCACCGGCUAACUCCGUGCCAGCAGCGGCGGUAAUACGGAGGGUGCGAGCGUUAAUCGGAAUAACUGGGCGUAAAGGGCACGCAGGCGGUUAUUUAAGUGAGGUGUGAAAGCCCCGGGCUUAACCUGGGAAUUGCAUUUCAGACUGGGUAACUAGAGUACUUUAGGGAGGGGUAGAAUUCCACGUGUAGCGGUGAAAUGCGUAGAGAUGUGGAGGAAUACCGAAGGCGAAGGCAGCCCCUUGGGAAUGUACUGACGCUCAUGUGCGAAAGCGUGGGGAGCAAACAGGAUUAGAUACCCUGGUAGUCCACGCUGUAAACGCUGUCGAUUUGGGGAUUGGGCUUAAAGCUUGGUGCCCGUAGCUAACGUGAUAAAUCGACCGCCUGGGGAGUACGGCCGCAAGGUUAAAACUCAAAUGAAUUGACGGGGGCCCGCACAAGCG